UACGUAGGGGGCAAGCGUUGUCCGGAUUUAUUGGGCGUAAAGAGCGUGUAGGCGGCUUUGCAAGUCCGUUGUGAAAACUCGAGGCUCAACCUCGAGACGCCGGUGGAAACUGCAAAGCUAGAGUCCGGAAGAGGGGAGUGGAAUUCCUGGUGUAGCGGUGAAAUGCGCAGAUAUCAGGAAGAACACCCGUGGCGAAGGCGGCUCUCUGGGACGGUACUGACGCUGAGACGCGAAAGCGUGGGGAGCGAACAGG
RNAcentral lists this ribosomal RNA (253 nucleotides) under uncultured bacterium. RNAcentral's name for it is "partial 16S ribosomal RNA". It matches the Rfam family "Bacterial small subunit ribosomal RNA", at positions 524 to 776 of the family's 1533-position model. The record is from RNAcentral.